RNAcentral lists this ribosomal RNA (344 nucleotides) under uncultured bacterium. Its description in RNAcentral is "bacterial SSU rRNA". It matches the Rfam family "Bacterial small subunit ribosomal RNA", at positions 18 to 344 of the family's 1533-position model. The record is from RNAcentral.
CAUGGCUCAGGACGAACGCUGGCGGCGUGCCUAAUACAUGCAAGUAGAACGCACAGUUUAUAUCGUAGCUUGCUACACCAUAGACUGUGAGUUGCGAACGGGUGAGUAACGCGUAGGUAACCUGCCUGGUAGCGGGGGAUAACUAUUGGAAACGAUAGCUAAUACCGCAUAAUAUUAAUUAUUGCAUGAUAAUUAAUUGAAAGGUGCAAUUGCACCACUACCAGAUGGACCUGCGUUGUAUUAGCUAGUAGGUGAGGUAACGGCUCACCUAGGCGACGAUACAUAGCCGACCUGAGAGGGUGAUCGGCCACACUGGGACUGAGACACGGCCCAGACUCCUACGG